CGAUAACAGACGAUGAUUGAUUUAUGGCGGUUUAAAUACUAAACACCAGGGUUUAUAUUAUUAUGGAAUUAUGAGGCUAUACCAAGCAGUUUUGCGGCGGACCAGGCAAACCAAGAGGGUGCACUGAAAAUAUUUGAUACUUUCCAUGAAUGUAUCUAGAGUAUAAUGACCAACCAUUGGAAAGAUGAUAAGGCACAUCCAGAACGACACUAGUUGACCGGGCAACAGUCAACUCAAAAUAAGUUUUCCAACAUUACUUCAGGAGAUUUUUAACAAAUUAACGCUUAGGUCGGCUUUUAAUCGCAUUAAUCCAUCAUUUUAAGUAUGAUUGAUGCAUUCAUU
Molecule: long non-coding RNA, 342 nt
Organism: Aethina tumida (small hive beetle)
Lineage: Eukaryota; Metazoa; Arthropoda; Insecta; Coleoptera; Nitidulidae
Exons: 3
Source: RefSeq, a predicted model, not a curated record